UGAUCCCCUUUGCGGGGGUAGGUUGGCUGUGUCCUUUGUGGGGUGGUGUUUUGGCUGUGUCCUUUGUGGGGUGCUUUUGCUUUUCUUUAAGCCACUCUUCCCCUUUCCUCUGCUUGGGAUUUCUCUUCCUCCUUGGUAUGCUGUGCUUAAAGCUGUGCUUGCAGCUUUGCUGUUCCCCUGUCGGGGUAGGGAGGCUGGCGAGAGGCGAGAUCGGGUACUGACGACUCGAGACAGCAGCUUCCAGGCAUCUGUGCAUCAGUACAGCUUUAUUAGGGUAGUGCAGUGUCUUAUAUAGUGCUCAGAGGAGGUGUUUCCAGCCAGCCUGGGGCUGGCACAAGUGGACAGUACAGAUUGGCCCCAAGUUAUGUGUAAGGCAGAGAUAGGUUACCUGUGGUAAACAACCUGUGAGUACCACCCAGGGGGGCUGGCCAGGGUCAGCCCCCUGGGGCUGCAUCCGCCCCGGGGGCCGGCAGAUUCCACCCCCUGACAGCUGUGCGUGGGUUGCUCAUGGUUGCCAGCUUAGGCCCCUGGGAAUCAGUAAGACCCAAGGACACUUCCCAUCACAGGGCCUGAUGUUUACAUUUCAUGCUCCGCUGCAGGAGAAAGCUUCCCACACUACCCACACAUCCAGAGGGAGCAAAGUGUCUGCACAGGCAGUAUAGGGCACCCUUGUGCUCCACAGGUGGCCUUUGGGCCACUGUCUCCAAAGCUGGCCCUGAGGCCACUCAUCCAGAGGGAACAAAGUGUCUGCUGGGGCAGGACAUGGCACCUUUGUGCUCCACAGGUGGCCUUUGGGCUACUGUCUCCAAUGGUAGCCCUGUGGCCACUAAUCCAGAGGGAGCAAAGUGUCUGCAGAGGGAGGACAGGGCACCCUUGUGCUCCACAGGUGGCCUUUGGGCCACUGUGUCCAAAGGUGGCCCUGUGGCCACUCAUCCAGAGCAAGCAAAGUGUCUACUGGGGUAGGACAGGGCAACCUUGUGAUCCAUAGGUGGCCUUUGGGCCACUGUAUCCUAAGGUGGCCCUGAGGCCACUCAUCCAGAGGUAGUAAUCUGUUCACAGGCAGGACAGGGCACCCUUGUGCUCCACAGGUGGCCUUUGGGCCACUGUCUCCAAAGGUGGCCUUGUGGCCACUCCUCCAGAGGGAGCAAAGUGUCUGCUGGGGCAGGACAGGGCACCCUUGUGCUCCACAGGUGGCCUUUGGGCCACUGUCUCCAAAGGUGGCCCUGAGGCCACUCAUCCAGAGGGAGCAAUCUCUGCAGGGGCAGGACAGGGCACCCUUGUGCUCCACAGGUGUCCUGUGGACAGCUCUCUCCAGAGGUGGCCUUCAGCUCACCCUUGGAGGCAAUGAUCUCUCCAGCAGGAAGGAUGCUCCUGUGCUCCACCUGCUGCUCUCCGAGGUGCCCAUGCAGGAGCAGGAUCCAGGCUCUGCUGUGUCCCGGGAAGGACAGGGACGUUUCACCUGUGCCCCUCAGCAGUGGCCUUGUGGCUGCAGGCGCUGCAGAGGCAGUGGAGUUACCUGCUGAGAGCUGCGAGAGGAAGAGCAGAGGCUGACACACGCUGGUGGAGAGCAGAAGUCAUUGCUUGUGUCGGUGCCUGAGGCUGGACUCUGCUGGCAAGCUGAGGGGAGUGUGUUCCUGAGGAGCCCUGCAGAGCUUCAGCAUCUUCAUUCCCUGCCCAUGCAGUGCCUGCAGUGCUAAGGAAUGGGGUGCAGAACUGUUGGAGGAGGUGGCAGAGCUUCGGGGCACCCCUGCACUGCUGGCAGGCAUGGCAGGAUUCUUGCUCCUGAGGUCGACAUUUGGCCACUCUGGCAAACUUCAGGCUGAGGGUGAGCAGGGCUUGGGAUUCUGCUGGCAGGCUGGCAGGAGGCAGCAGGGCUUGCUCAGUGCUCAGGGCGUUGCCGAUCGCCGCUGCUCUGGGGUCAGGAAGGAAUUUUCCCCCCCGGGGCAGAUUGGCACUGGUCCCCAGGGGGGUUUUUGCCUUUCUCUGCAUCAUUGAGCAUGGCCACUUGCAAAGGCUCCUCUGGCCCCUCUUGGCUGCUUUAUUGCCUCCUGCUCAUGCCACAGGAAGAUGUCUCACACCCUGCAGCUAGGGGAGGAGGCUUUUUUCCCCCUGAUGGCCUUUGCAGUGUCCCCGGGGGUUUUUUGCCUUCCUCUGGUGCACUGAACACUCUAAAGGUGGCCUUCAGGCCAUGCGUUCAGGCACCUCCCAGACACACUCAAGCUGGCAGCACCAGAGAGCUCUGCUCUUGUCUGGCCUGAGCACUGUGCUGGUGCUUGUAUGGUCACUGCCUCUGAAACAGCUUUAAAAAGCCACAUCAAAUAAACUCCUUUUCCAACUUGUAUGUCUUCUGGUUGGUGUCCUUUGCAGCUUGCAAUGCCCUCACUGUCCCUCCACUUUCCCUCUCCUCCCCUCUGCCUGUGUCUAAAGUCUGAUGUCCCCCACGUGUCCCCUGUGUGUCUGAGGUGGCUGCUGCCAGCAGCCUCCAUCCCCUUCUCCAGGCUGCUGCUGCUCCUGAGCUUUCCUUUUUCUCUGCAAGAGCUCACAGGUGCCUGUGCUUAGGAGCUUUAUUAAUGCCUGAAAGCAGUGGAACCUUUCUCUGGUGCUGCCACAGCCCCACUGGCAGUGCCACUCUGCAGCCCAAGCAUGACAAUCACAUUAGGUGACAGCCAAGCAGUGGCAACAUCUCGCUCUGAAAAUGACUAACAGCAGGAAAGGCUCCAUGGAACCCCCCAAAGUGACAGGAGUGCCCUGGGGGAAAAGGGAUUUCAAAAGCUGAAAGCUCUGCGUGUGGAGGAAGCAGGAGCCACAGCUGCCUGCGGGCUUUGGCUGCCACUGGAUGCCAAUGUGGACGCUGGGAAAUCCCAGGCUGGGUGUCAGAGCAUCCCAGCUUGGAUGUCAGAGUACCCAAACCUGGAUCUUGGAGCAUCCCAACCUGGCUGUCAAAGGACCCAACCUGGGGAGGCUGUGGAGCCUCCCUCUCUGGAGCUAGUCAAGAACCGUCUGGAUGCAUUCCAGUGUGAUCUGCUCCGGGUGAUCCUGCUCUGGCAGGGGGGCUGGACCAGACGAUCUUCCGAGGUCCCUUCCAGCCCCUGACAAUCUAUGAUUCUACGCUAGGAGAAGAUCCCAGCUUGGCCGCCAGAGUGUCCCAGCCUGGGUGUCCCAGCACCCCAGCCUGCCUGCCCGGAGCGCUGCCGCAGAGCUGGGAAUGACCUGUUCGCUCAGACGCACAGAAAGGUUUAUCCCUCUGUGGGUAGGGAAGAGAAAAA
This is a long non-coding RNA of Pogoniulus pusillus (Red-fronted tinkerbird), 3266 nucleotides long. RefSeq lists it as uncharacterized. The record is from RefSeq and is a predicted model, not a curated record. Lineage: Eukaryota; Metazoa; Chordata; Aves; Piciformes; Lybiidae. The transcript has 2 exons.